This 419-nucleotide long non-coding RNA is filed under the name Cucumis sativus (cucumber). RNAcentral describes it as "long non-coding RNA (CSAT_LNC000434)". Lineage: Eukaryota; Viridiplantae; Streptophyta; Magnoliopsida; Cucurbitales; Cucurbitaceae. The record is from RNAcentral.
AAUUAUAUCUACAUAAUUAUUCAUAUAAUCUAAGUUUAUUAGAAUUCACAUGUAUGUUUUUGCUAUACUAAUUCAAACAGAUUCAUUGUUUUGAUCACUAAACAACUCUAUGCAAUAAAAAUGAAUAACAUAAUAUUGAAGUAUUUUAAAAAAUAAAAGAAAAAAUGUUUACUGGGGCGCAGUCGAGAAUAGAGAACAGAGAAUGCAUUCCUCGCCCCACUCCCAUUUAGGUUUUGAGGAAUAUUUUUCGUCAGCCCCACCUCCAUUCCCCGUUUAAUUGGAGAAUCCUCGCUCCAUUCGGAAAGUCUCCAUGAAGAAAGUUGACAUCUUUAGUUAGAUUAUCAAAAGAAGUAUCUAAGCAAGACCUUGUCAAGAGGAAGAGAAAUUUUGAAAUACCAGAAGCCUCAUACUAAUGAGAG